GAUGAACGCUAGCUACAGGCUUAACACAUGCAAGUCGAGGGGCAGCAUGGUCUUAGCUUGCUAAGGCCGAUGGCGACCGGCGCACGGGUGAGUAACACGUAUCCAACCUGCCGUCUACUCUUGGACAGCCUUCUGAAAGGAAGAUUAAUACAAGAUGGCAUCAUGAGUCCGCAUGUUCACAUGAUUAAAGGUAUUCCGGUAGACGAUGGGGAUGCGUUCCAUUAGAUAGUAGGCGGGGUAACGGCCCACCUAGUCUUCGAUGGAUAGGGGUUCUGAGAGGAAGGUCCCCCACAUUGGAACUGAGACACGGUCCAAACUCCUACGGGAGGCAGCAGUGAGGAAUAUUGGUCAAUGGGCGAGAGCCUGAACCAGCCAAGUAGCGUGAAGGAUGACUGCCCUAUGGGUUGUAAACUUCUUUUAUAAAGGAAUAAAGUCGGGUAUGCAUACCCGUUUGCAUGUACUUUAUGAAUAAGGAUCGGCUAACUCCGUGCCAGCAGCCGCGGUAAUACGGAGGAUCCGAGCGUUAUCCGGAUUUAUUGGGUUUAAAGGGAGCGUAGAUGGAUGUUUAAGUCAGUUGUGAAAGUUUGCGGCUCAACCGUAAAAUUGCAGUUGAUACUGGAUAUCUUGAGUGCAGUUGAGGCAGGCGGAAUUCGUGGUGUAGCGGUGAAAUGCUUAGAUAUCACGAAGAACUCCGAUUGCGAAGGCAGCCUGCUAAGCUGCAACUGACAUUGAGGCUCGAAAGUGUGGGUAUCAAACAGGAUUAGAUACCCUGGUAGUCCACACGGUAAACGAUGAAUACUCGCUGUUUGCGAUAUACUGCAAGCGGCCAAGCGAAAGCGUUAAGUAUUCCACCUGGGGAGUACGCCGGCAACGGUGAAACUCAAAGGAAUUGACGGGGGCCCGCACAAGCGGAGGAACAUGUGGUUUAAUUCGAUGAUACGCGAGGAACCUUACCCGGGCUUAAAUUGCAGAUGAAUUACGGUGAAAGCCGUAAGCCGCAAGGCAUCUGUGAAGGUGCUGCAUGGUUGUCGUCAGCUCGUGCCGUGAGGUGUCGGCUUAAGUGCCAUAACGAGCGCAACCCUUGUUGUCAGUUACUAACAGGUUCCGCUGAGGACUCUGACAAGACUGCCAUCGUAAGAUGUGAGGAAGGUGGGGAUGACGUCAAAUCAGCACGGCCCUUACGUCCGGGGCUACACACGUGUUACAAUGGGGGGUACAGAGGGCCGCUACCACGCGAGUGGAUGCCAAUCCCCAAAACCUCUCUCAGUUCGGACUGGAGUCUGCAACCCGACUCCACGAAGCUGGAUUCGCUAGUAAUCGCGCAUCAGCCACGGCGCGGUGAAUACGUUCCCGGGCCUUGUACACACCGCCCGUCAAGCCAUGGGAGCCGGGGGUACCUGAAGUGCGUAACCGCGAGGAGCGCCCUAGGGUAAAACUGGUGACUGGGGCU
This 1450-nucleotide ribosomal RNA is filed under the name uncultured organism. RNAcentral's name for it is "SSU rRNA". It matches the Rfam family "Bacterial small subunit ribosomal RNA". The record is from RNAcentral.